Molecule: ribosomal RNA, 362 nt
Filed under: Theileria ovis
Lineage: Eukaryota; Apicomplexa; Aconoidasida; Piroplasmida; Theileriidae
Description: SSU rRNA
Rfam family: Eukaryotic small subunit ribosomal RNA
Source: RNAcentral
GGGCUUAAUGUCUUGAAAUUGGAAUGAUGGGAAUUUAAACCUCUUCCAGAGUAUCAAUUGGAGGGCAAGUCUGGUGCCAGCAGCCGCGGUAAUUCCAGCUCCAAUAGCGUAUAUUAAAAUUGUUGCAGUUAAAAAGCUCGUAGUUGAAUUUCUGCUGCAUUGCUUUUGCUCCUUUACGAGUCUUUGCAUUGUGGCUUAUUUCGGACUUUGUUUUACAAUGUCCGGAUGUUUACUUUGAGAAAAUUAGAGUGCUCAAAGCAGGCUUUCGCCUUGAAUAGUUUAGCAUGGAAUAAUAAAGUAGGACUUUGGUUCUAUUUUGUUGGUUUUAGGUACCAAAGUAAUGGUUAAUAGGAACAGUUGGG